Molecule: transfer RNA, 78 nt
Filed under: Falco sparverius
Lineage: Eukaryota; Metazoa; Chordata; Aves; Falconiformes; Falconidae
Description: tRNA-Trp
Rfam family: tRNA
About the family: Transfer RNA (tRNA) molecules are approximately 80 nucleotides in length. Their secondary structure includes four short double-helical elements and three loops (D, anti-codon, and T loops).
Source: RNAcentral
AGAAACUUAGGAUAACCCGUCUAUUAAAACCGAAGGCCUUCAAAGCCUUAAAUAAGAGUUAAAUCCUCUUAGUUUCUG